AUGCUUGGAAAAAGUUGUGUUGAAGCCCUGAUCCAACCCGAGCCAUCAACCCAUGGCUUUGCCUGCUUGCCAUACACUUAUGAUAAUCGUUGUGCUGGCUGGGCAAAUGUAAAAGCCCGCCUUGAUCGGGCUAUUGCAAAUAACUCCUGGCGGGAUCUAUUCUCGGAGGCCAAGGUGGAGCACCUGGUUGCACCAAGUUCGGAUCACUUGGCGAUCCUGCUCCGAUGCGUCAUGGAGGAGGCUUCACCACCGGCCGGCAGAAGAUGUCGGAAAUAUGAGGUGAUGUGGGGGCGUGACCCGGCUCCCUCAGAGAGGAGAUGCUCUGGAUGCAAAGAUACCGAGUCGCGUGGUUGCGGGAGGGCGACCACAACACACAAUUCUUUCAUUGGAAAGCGGUUUGGUGGGCACGAAAAAAAUCAUAUCAAGUCACUUGUUGAUGAUGUAGGAGUGGUGCACAAGGACCAUGAGUCUAUGGCUGCUAUGGCAACGUCUUAUUUUUCCAAUCUGUUUUCUGCCGACGCCUUGCUAUAUGUGGACCCAAUGAUUAACUUAAUUAACUCCCGUGUUACUGAAGGCAUGAAUGAUGGUCUGUGUGCAGAUUUUACGGUCAAGGAGAUUGCGGAUGCUCUAUUCCAACUUGGCCCUCUCAAAGCUCCGGGGCUGGAUGGGUUCCUUGCCAGAUUUUUUCAGAGAAAUUGGUCCGUCACGAGAGAGCAAGUUAUUGCAGGAGUGAAGGAAUUUUUUCGGACAGGGGUCAUGCCUGAUGGAGUGAAUGACACUUCCAUUGUCCUCAUCCCAAAGAUGACACCAUGCUAUUCUUUAAAGCAGAAGAGUACAUGA
This 840-nucleotide ribosomal RNA is filed under the name Triticum aestivum (bread wheat). Its description in RNAcentral is "partial small subunit ribosomal RNA". Lineage: Eukaryota; Viridiplantae; Streptophyta; Magnoliopsida; Poales; Poaceae. The record is from RNAcentral.